RNAcentral lists this non-coding RNA (23 nucleotides) under Arabidopsis thaliana (thale cress). Lineage: Eukaryota; Viridiplantae; Streptophyta; Magnoliopsida; Brassicales; Brassicaceae. The record is from RNAcentral.
UGCAUAUGAGCCUACCGGUGACA